UUAACAUGCAGUCGACGGCAGCGCGGACUUCGGUCUGGCGGCGAGUGGCGAACGGGUGAGUAAUGUAUCGGAACGUGCCCAGUAGCGGGGGAUAACUACGCGAAAGCGUAGCUAAUACCGCAUACGCCCUUUGGGGGAAAGCGGGGGACCUUCGGGCCUCGCACUAUUGGAGCGGCCGAUAUCGGAUUAGCUAGUUGGUGGGGUAAAGGCCUACCAAGGCGACGAUCCGUAGCUGGUUUGAGAGGACGACCAGCCACACUGGGACUGAGACACGGCCCAGACUCCUACGGGAGGCAGCAGUGGGGAAUUUUGGACAAUGGGGGCAACCCUGAUCCAGCCAUCCCGCGUGUGCGAUGAAGGCCUUCGGGUUGUAAAGCACUUUUGGCAGGAAAGAAACGGCCCUGGUUAAUACCUGGGGCAACUGACGGUACCUGCAGAAUAAGCACCGGCUAACUACGUGCCAGCAGCCGCGGUAAUACGUAGGGUGCAAGCGUUAAUCGGAAUUACUGGGCGUAAAGCGUGCGCAGGCGGUUCGGAAAGAAAGAUGUGAAAUCCCAGGGCUUAACCUUGGAACUGCGUUUUUAACUACCGGGGCUAGAGUGUGUCAGAGGGAGGUGGAAUUCCGCGUGUAGCACUGAAAUGCGUAUAGAUGCCGAGGAACACCUAUGGUGAAUGCAGCCUCCCGGGGAUAACACUGACGCUCAUGCACGAAAGCGUGGGGGAGCAAACAUGAUUA
RNAcentral lists this ribosomal RNA (736 nucleotides) under Bordetella sp. NTN140. Its description in RNAcentral is "bacterial SSU rRNA". It matches the Rfam family "Bacterial small subunit ribosomal RNA", at positions 50 to 780 of the family's 1533-position model. Lineage: Bacteria; Pseudomonadati; Pseudomonadota; Betaproteobacteria; Burkholderiales; Alcaligenaceae. The record is from RNAcentral.